This is a long non-coding RNA of Equus caballus (horse), 3892 nucleotides long. Lineage: Eukaryota; Metazoa; Chordata; Mammalia; Perissodactyla; Equidae. The record is from Ensembl.
GCAAUUCAAAGUAAACAUUUUAUUUUCCUCACAAUUUUUGUGUCUCCAUAAUUCAGGAAGGGCUCAGCUGGGUGGUUUAUCUCUGAUCUACAUGGCAUCAGCUGGGACUAGAGGAUCCAUUUCCAAGAUGGUUUCUUCACUCAUAAGUUUGGUGCUUGGAGUCUUUGGCCUGCCUGUAUCUCUCCCUAGCAUCUUCCUCACCCUGGCUUGGGCUUCUCACAAGGACAGUCUCAGAGCAGUAGAACUUCUUACAAGGCAACUUAGGGUUCCAAGAGAUUGUUCCCAGGGACACAGCCAGAAGUUGCAAGGCUUUUUAUGACUUAACCUUGGAAGACCCAGACAUCAUUUCCACCACAUUCUACUGGUCAAGCAGGUCACAAAGGCCAGUUCUUAUUCAAGGGAAUGAGAAUUAGAGUCCAUCUCUCAGGGGAAAAAGUCACAACAAAUGUGUGGCCAACUCUAAUCUACCAUAAGGAGCAAUGAACAAAGCAGAGUGAUUUAAGUAAAUUGUCAAUGUCCAAGAGCAGGAGCAACUGUCAGAGAAAGAGGAACAGGAUGAGUGUAGAGGGCUUUGAAGGUGAGGUUAAGAGAUUUGAAUGUUUCGAGAAUAACAUCUUUUCCCCUGGCAUAUCCUCUCUUGUGGAACUGCACUCAGCUAGAUGAAAGAGAGCACCAGGAUUUUCUAAGGUUCCCAGGCACUGGACUAGCAGACAUAAAUCAGGAUAAAUUUUAAAUUGAUGAGAGCUCUGUCAACACCAGCAAAAGGUAUUGACCUUCUUGUGGUAAAGUUCACUGAAGUACAUGGCUAAAGAAAUUGAAAGAGAGCUUCCGGAGGGUCUGUGUAAAGUCCAGACAUGGAGAUGGAUGGAUACUCCCAAUGCUACGCUUUGGUUCAAGAUCCCAAAAAACAGUUAUGACAAUACACAGUAGGGUUGUUUCCAAAUCAAGUAGUAUUGAUGGGAAAAGGAGAUGGGGAGACAAACCCUAUAUUAGAAUCCAGAACCUCAGUUAGUACCCAGCUUACCCAGGCCCUACUAUAUAUUUAAAACCAGGCAAAAGAUAAGCUUGAAGUCCCUGAAAUUUUCUUAAGGCUAAAGCUUUCAUAAUAUCCUGAGAUUAUGGAUAUAAAGGAAGAAAUCUGUGCUUACCUACUGGAUUAUUCGUGCCAUUUUGAGGUCAAACUCUGAACGCUGAACUUUGGUUCUCUGGUUGAACAUUUGAGGUCCCUGUGCAUUAAAUAAUUUACACAGCAAGCAGGACUUUAACUCCAAUCCUUUUCCUCCUAAUGGGGUGGAAUUUUGUGCACAAGUAUAGACUCACAGCUCUAAAACCAAACAGCUGUUGCUGACCAAAAAAUAAAACAACAAUAACAACAACAAUUAGUCCUGUAUUUAAAGAAAGAAAGAAAAAGAAUUGUCCAGCCCAAAAGACAAGAGCUAUUUUGAUUGUACAAGAAAGAACAUAAUCAGAGUCAGGAACACAAUGGAGGAAAUAUUCCCAAAGGAAAUCAAGAUUAAGAUGCACACUUGGGCCUCUUCCUACAAGCGCCAACCUCCCAAGCCCACAGGUCAUUUUGCUUGACAAUGUCACAUCGAUUCACAUUUCACAAUGUGCUCUUAACUUUAGAAUCUUAAUGUGCUGGCUGGAAUUAGCUGUGUCUUUGGAGCAGAGCCUGAUCUUGGCCAUGUCCUUCUUUGGAGAGACUUCCUGGUUGGCUAGAGGCAUCAGCAAGAUGCCUUGUCAUUCUGGUAAAUGAGAACCAAGAAGAAAUAAACAAUAAAUGUGUGUGUAUACAUGUAUAUACAUGUAUAUACGUAUGUGUAUAUAUACAAACACAUAUAUGCAUAUAUACAUGAAUUGAACAUAUGUAUUAUAUACAUAUAAACAUGUGGCAUGUCAUGUCCUUGCAAAACACUGGGAAACCAUGCUUUGAAGAGAACAUGGAUAUUCUGAAAAACUUUCAUGUUCCAUAAUGACUGUAGUAAUGAUUUCAUCAUGUUGUACACCUUAAAUAUAUACAAUUUUUAUUUUAAAAAAUAAAAUAUAAAAACAUAGGAAAGGAGGAAAUGAGACUUCCUGUGUUCAGUGCAGCCAAUGGUAAUGGGUCAAACUCUCUGGCCCCGUUAUUGGAAGGAAAAUGGAGUUCAGGCCACUAGGAAGCUGCAGGGAAGAAAGAGGAAAGGCUUCUGAAGACUGGCAUGAACUGUGUGAGUCACUGGGUAGGGGAAGGAAACCGAGAUUCUGUGGGCCCACUUCCUUUCCUCAGCCCCACUUUGGGGCUCAGGACUGUGGGCACAUUUCUGAGUGUCCUGGUGGUGGCUGGGGUGGGGAGGAGCAGAGCCCAGAGUCAGCCUGCUGUGCUGAUCAUCUGCUGCCCCGAGGAUUUCCUCCAGAGGCAAUCCAGAAGGAAAUACCCCUAAUGCCACCAAUCCUUUUCCUUGCUUCCCUCUGUGCCACACCCUUUCCCAGCCUCGCUUCCCCAGAAGUAAGACACACUAUCAGCCUAAGUAGCAUCCCUUCCCUGAGAGGUCAUGGUCUACAGUCUCCGUCUCUCAGGUAUGAAGAGGCUGCGGCAGAAGGAAAUCCAGCCUCUCCAGUUGCACAGGGCGGCAGGCACUCUCCUCCUGGCCUUAUGAGCAGAGUGUCCCUCAGCGUUUGUGACUGACAGGCGGGCCCUGCCUCCUGGGUAACAGGACGGACACUGGGUUCAAGCCUCCUGUGUGAGGCUGGGCCUCACCCGGUACUUUCACACAAGGUCCCAUCCUGCCGCUGUCUGCAGUGUCACCCUCCAGGCAGUCAUCGUGGAACCUGCUCCUCGGUGGAACACCACCCACAACCACCCAUUGCCCCUACAAGGGACAGGAGAGCUGAGGUUUCAGGGCCCAAGUGUAGAUGCAAAUUGGAGUAUUUUUAAUGUUCUGAGAAUGAUAGUGAAAACACCUUAAGGACAAGAGUUGCAUUUAAUCUGCAAAUGUGGAUUGAGAAGAACCCCUGAAAGUGACUAUAAAAGAAUCAUAAUGAUGUUAUAAGAACAGGUGUAGUUGAGUGGGGUGGAGUUUAGGGGUGGCAUCAUGGAGAGCUGUGGGUGUUCGGGAGCCACCCUUACCCGGUAGAUGUCUGUGAGUUGAUGAAGAGAAGAGCAGUGCACCUGACAGGAGAGCCACAUGGAAGAGCCCAAGCAGAGAAGGUCCUUGCGGAGGGAGGAGAGGCGCACCACACAAAAAGCCUUAGCUGGAGAUGCUGGACUACUGAGCCCGCCAUUUACCCAGAAACCAGCAUGGCGCAGGACCUAGCUGGCAAACAGGACAGGUCCUUACCUCUCCAGAGACCCAAAGAAGGUGACCUGCAGAGACCCAACUAGGUAGAUGUGGAGGAUGCUGUGCACUGGUUUGCUCAACCUCCAUUCCAAGCUUCUCCAGGGGACCAUCCUAUAUGACAGACACCUUAGAAAAACUAAAUUUCCCGUCCUCCUUUGCAAGUUGGGGUCCAGAUGGGAUUAGGUUCUGCCAAUCAGAUGCACCAGCGCCAGACCUCAAUUCAGAGCCCAGUUAUAUGGGGCAAGAGACAAGGUCUUUACUUGGCUGGCCCUGAUCUCAGCAGAGGCGAGGGGCUCUGCAGUGGGCAGGUGGGAGCACAGCCUUCCCAGCCAUGUCUCCCGAGUAGAGUAAUUCUGCCAGCUGGAAUUCUUUCUGGAAGCUCUGAUGAGAGCCUGCUUGCCUAGCCCUUCAAAGUGUUUGUAGGCCACUCAAUACCUGAUUAUUAAUCCCCCCGCGUUUCAACUAGCUAGAGGGAUUUUUGUCUUCUGAAGUGGCACAGACAGUGGAGGACCCAGCACGUCUAACACCCAAAGUGGAUCAUCUUUUUAACACCCUUCUCUAGGUGACAAAAUUAU